Molecule: transfer RNA, 69 nt
Filed under: Brassica rapa (field mustard)
Lineage: Eukaryota; Viridiplantae; Streptophyta; Magnoliopsida; Brassicales; Brassicaceae
Also listed under: 3 other names
Description: tRNA-Ser
Rfam family: tRNA
About the family: Transfer RNA (tRNA) molecules are approximately 80 nucleotides in length. Their secondary structure includes four short double-helical elements and three loops (D, anti-codon, and T loops).
Source: RNAcentral
GGAGAGAUGGCCGAGUGGUUGAAGGCGUAACAUUGGAACUGUUAUGUAGACUUUUGUUUACCGAGGGUU